GAUGAACGCUGGCGGCGUGCCUAAUACAUGCAAGUCGAGCGAACGGACGAGAAGCUUGCUUUUCUGAUGUUAGCGGCGGACGGGUGAGUAACACGUGGAUAACCUACCUAUAAGACUGGGAUAACUUCGGGAAACCGGAGCUAAUACCGGAUAAUAUUUUGAACCGCAUGGUUCAAAAGUGAAAGACGGUCUUGCUUUCACUUAUAGAUGGAUCCGCGCUGCAUUAGCUAGUUGGUAAGGUAACGGCUUACCAAGGCAACGAUGCAUAGCCGACCUGAGAGGGUGAUCGGCCACACUGGAACUGAGACACGGUCCAGACUCCUACGGGAGGCAGCAGUAGGGAAUCUUCGGCAAUGGGCGAAAGCCUGACGGAGCAACGCCGCGUGAGUGAUGAAGGUCUUCGGAUCGUAAAACUCUGUUAUUAGGGAAGAACAUAUGUGUAAGUAAAUGUGCACAUCUUGACGGUACCUAAUCAGAAAGCCACGGCUAACUACGUG
This 497-nucleotide ribosomal RNA is filed under the name uncultured bacterium. RNAcentral describes it as "partial 16S ribosomal RNA". It matches the Rfam family "Bacterial small subunit ribosomal RNA", at positions 28 to 507 of the family's 1533-position model. The record is from RNAcentral.